RNAcentral lists this ribosomal RNA (128 nucleotides) under Vitalius sp. VITD36FPM. RNAcentral describes it as "partial 16S ribosomal RNA". The record is from RNAcentral. Lineage: Eukaryota; Metazoa; Arthropoda; Arachnida; Araneae; Theraphosidae.
AAGAACAGAAAGUCUGUUCGACUUUUAAAAACUNACAUGAUUUGAGUUCAGACCGGCGUGAGCCAGGUCGGUUUCUAUCCUCUUUUCAAAGAUUUCAGUACGAAAGGACAAAGUCUUUAGUUAUUCAC